AGCUUUAACUACAUAAAUUUGAUGUAGGUUUCGAUACAACGCUAAAUAGAGACAUAACACAUGCAAGUUAUUAUAUUAAUAUAUUAUAUUAGUAUGAGAGCGAUCAGGUGAGUAAUAAGAGGGUUAUACCCUUAGAGAUGUAGGUAUUAGUUUAUACUAGCCAGAGACCUCUACUCCAAGGUGGAAGCCUAAAGGAGCACAUAGAUAAAUAUCUACUACUAUUAGUAGCAGCAGUGGGGAAUUAUUGACAAUGAUCGUAAGAUUGAUCAUGUUAUCUAUUAAAGAUAUUAGAUCUGGCAAAGUAAUUUUAUCACUAUAAUUGGGGAUAUAAAUUAUCUAAUCUAAGUAGUUAACUCCAAAUCAUAUUGAGAUGUGUGAUUCAUAUUAAUGAAAAGAGUAUAUUCUAUUGAAUGCCUAUAGAAUGAAACGGAAUAAAGAUCUAAAUUAUUAUCUUAAUAUAUUAAUCAAUAAUGAUGAUUAAUAAUAUUUAGUCCUUACUAAGAUGUGUGCCAGCAGUAGCGGUCAUACACACAGGGCAAGCGUUUAUCAUCCUUGGUUUAAAGGAUCCGUAGGCUUAAACUUUAUGAGAAUAAAGACUAUAUAUUUUUUAUAAAUGUAAAAUAUAUAUUGUAAUAGAAUCUUAUUAAAUUUAACAUGUAAAUUAUAUAAAGAGUUAAUAUGCUAUGACAUAUAAUAGACAGCAAAGAAGUUAAAAUGUAAGAUUGACGCUGAGGGAUGAAAGCUGUAAUAGUAACAUGGAUUCGGUACCCAUUUAACUACAGCCGUAAACUAUGUAUAUCACGCAAAUUAAUUAUCUCUUAUAAAGCUUGUUCUAUACAUUAUUAUUUAUAGUCUAAACAUAUUGAUUUAUUAUACAUUUAUUUAUAUUUCUAUAUUCAUAUAUUAAUAUAUAAAUAUAUAAGCUUAUAAAAAUAUUGUUAAUAUUAAAUUAUUAAUAAUAUGCAUUGUAUAUAGUUCUAAAUUGAUAUGUUUAUUAACUAAUGUAUAGAUAUUUAUAUGAUAAAAAAAUUCUAGAUGUAAUAAAAUGUAAAUAUAGAUAGAUACAUGUACAUUAUAUUUGAAAUAUGGAGGUUAAUUGAUUUAACCUUUAAAGUAAUUUAUCUUAAAAUUCUAGAUUUGUAGUGUGAAUUAAUAUAUAGAUUUAUAUUAAUUUAUAAUUGUAAUGUAUAUAUAAUUAUAUAUCAAACACAACCGAUAUAGAAGUUAUAUAAGCGAUCAAAAAGAAUAAGAGUAAUUUGAGCAAAUUAACAUUAAGAAUAUACCACCAGACUAGUACGUUCGCAAGAAUGAAAUGUAAUACAUUAGACGGUUAUAUACCGGUACAGUGGAUCAUGCUGUUUAAUUGGACGAUACUCCUUAAACCUUACCAUUCCUUGAAUAUUAUAUUUAUUUAUUAAAUAUUUUACAGGCGUUACAUUGUUGUCGUCAGUUCAUGCCAUCAUGGUUUAUUAUUAAGUUAUUUAAUGAACGAAAUCCUUGUUUAGAAUUUAAAUUAUUAAAUUUUAUAAAAUUGUAUUAUAGAGAUAUAAUAGUAAGUAAAGGUUGAAGACUAAUCCGCAUGACCCUUAUGGAAUGGGCUACAGGUGUGAUACGAAUUAACUAUUAAUUAUAAAUCUAUUAGAAAGAGAUUUAAGUGAACUAGUUAAAUCAUGGAAUUAUAUCUUUAAAUGAAUUAAUACCUGCAACUCGGUAUUAUUAAAGAGGAACUGUCAGUAAUCAUAUUUUAGUAAAAUAUGGUGAAUUUGUCAUAUAUUUCGCACUAAUCACUCAUCAAUAGCACAGAUGAAUCUUAUAAAGAUUUAUUAUUUAAGAAUAUUAAAUUAUUAUAUUAUGUUAUAUUUAAGAAACUAAUAAUUAGAUAUCAAUCUAUAAGUAUCUGAAUACGUUAUAAAACUAAUUAAAGUAAUAUAUUAAGUUAUACAGAAAUAAGAUAGAUUAUAAUGUAUUUAUGAUUAUAAAGAAUUAAAUAUAAUAUUGAUAGCUUACAAUAUAUUAUAGAUAAAUAAGAUUUAUUAUUUAUUUGGGGGAUAAUAGAAUUAUUUAAAAGUAAUAUAGAACUAAGAUAUAAGUAUAUUGAGUUAUAACUAUAUAUUUAUAUAUAAUGGAAUACUGAUUAUAUUCAUUUUUAUAUAUAGAUAAUAUACUAUAAUAAGAUAAGCGAGAAAUAAUUUAAUAUAUAAUUAGAUAAUUGAAUCUUUAUUUAAAAGAGAAAGAUAUGCUAUAAGUUGAAAUACAGUUCGGGUAAGGGAACUUGCUCGGGGUUUAUUAAAAUAUUAAC
This 2299-nucleotide ribosomal RNA is filed under the name Candida neerlandica. Its description in RNAcentral is "small subunit ribosomal RNA". The stretch from base 1290 to 1782 matches the Rfam family "Bacterial small subunit ribosomal RNA", at positions 875 to 1387 of the family's 1533-position model. The record is from RNAcentral. Lineage: Eukaryota; Fungi; Ascomycota; Pichiomycetes; Serinales; Debaryomycetaceae.